Molecule: ribosomal RNA, 510 nt
Filed under: uncultured Verrucomicrobiota bacterium
Lineage: Bacteria; Pseudomonadati; Verrucomicrobiota
Description: bacterial SSU rRNA
Rfam family: Bacterial small subunit ribosomal RNA
Source: RNAcentral
UCGAGAAUUUUUCUCAAUGGGCGAAAGCCUGAAGGAGCGACGCCGCGUGGGGGAUGAAGGUCUUCGGAUUGUAAACCCCUGUCACUUGGGGACAAAUUGGAUCACCUAACACGCGAUCCAUUGAUUGUACCAGGAGAGGAAGACGUGGCUAACUCUGUGCCAGCAGCCGCGGUAAUACAGAGACGUCGAGCGUUGUUCGGAUUCAUUGGGCGUAAAGGGUGCGUAGGCGGUGAGGUAAGUCGGAUGUGAAAUCCCAAAGCUUAACUUUGGAAGUGCAUCCGAAACUGCCUUGCUAGAGGACUGGAAGGGAGACUGGAAUUCUCGGUGUAGCGGUGAAAUGCGUAGAUAUCGAGAGGAACACCUGUGGCGAAGGCGGGUCUCUGGACAGUUCCUGACGCUGAGGCACGAAAGCCAGGGGAGCAAACGGGAUUAGAUACCCCGGUAGUCCUGGCCCUAAACGGUGCUCACUGGGUGUGGGAGGGAAUCGACCCUUCCGUGCCGAAGCUAACG